GACGAACCGUGCGAACGUUAUUCGGAAUCACUGGGCUUAAAGCGCGUGUAGGCGGCCCGGCACGUCCGUCGCUGAAAUCCCCCGGCUCAACCGGGGAAGUGGCGUGGAUACGGCCGGGCUGGAGGGGGGUAGGGGGAGCCGGAACUUCCGGUGGAGCGGUGAAAUGCGUUGAGAUCGGAAGGAACGCCCGUGUCGAAAGCGGGCUCCUGGACCCCACCUGACGCUGAGACGCGAAAGCCAGGGGAGCGAACGGG
RNAcentral lists this ribosomal RNA (254 nucleotides) under uncultured bacterium. Its description in RNAcentral is "partial 16S ribosomal RNA". It matches the Rfam family "Bacterial small subunit ribosomal RNA", at positions 524 to 776 of the family's 1533-position model. The record is from RNAcentral.